CACGCUGUAAACGUUGUAUACUAGGUGUUAGCGGCUUGUCCGCUAGUGCCGAAGCAAACGCAUUAAGUAUACCGCCUGGGGAGUACGCCCGCAAGGGUGAAACUCAAAGAAAUUGACGGGGGCCCGCACAAGCGGUGGAGCAUGUGGUUUAAUUCGAUGAUACGCGAAAAACCUUACCUGGGCUUGAACUGUACAUGACCGGCGUAGAGAUACGCUUUUCCUUCGGGACAUGUAUAGAGGUGC
RNAcentral lists this ribosomal RNA (243 nucleotides) under uncultured bacterium. RNAcentral describes it as "partial 16S ribosomal RNA". It matches the Rfam family "Bacterial small subunit ribosomal RNA", at positions 796 to 1041 of the family's 1533-position model. The record is from RNAcentral.